This 336-nucleotide unclassified non-coding RNA is filed under the name plant metagenome. RNAcentral's name for it is "partial contains 5.8S ribosomal RNA, internal transcribed spacer 2, and large subunit ribosomal RNA". The stretch from base 1 to 104 matches the Rfam family "5.8S ribosomal RNA", at positions 50 to 154 of the family's 154-position model. The record is from RNAcentral.
GAAACGCGAAAGGUAAUGCGAAUUGCAGAAUCAGUGAGUCAUCGAAUCUUUGAACGCACAUUGCGCCUCUCGGUAUUCCGGGAGGCACGCCUGUUCGAGCGCCUUUACAAACUCCAAGCGUGGCUUGAUGUUGGGCGAUGUCUUUUUGCGAGAGCGGAGACACGCCUGGAACGCGUUGGCGCCGCCGCCGGACCACGAGCGUAGCAAGACGAGAGUCAAUCGCAUCGAUUUGGAUUCCGACGGAGGUCCGCCAUGGGACUGCACUUUCGAGUGUAAGUUCACAACUUCUCUCAAGUUUGGCCUCGGAUCAGGCGGGGAUACCCGCUGAACUUAAGC